This 253-nucleotide ribosomal RNA is filed under the name uncultured bacterium. RNAcentral describes it as "partial 16S ribosomal RNA". It matches the Rfam family "Bacterial small subunit ribosomal RNA", at positions 524 to 776 of the family's 1533-position model. The record is from RNAcentral.
UACGGGGGGGGCAAGCGUUGUUCGGAAUUACUGGGCGUAAAGAGCGCGUAGGCGGAAAUUUAAGCGUGGCCUGAAAGCCCCCGGCUCAACCGGGGAGUGCGGCUGCGAACUGGGUUUCUUGAGGACGAUAGAGGAGAGUGGAAUUCCUGGUGUAGCGGUGAAAUGCGUAGAUAUCGGGAGGAACACCAGUGGCGAAGGCGGCAUCCUGGACCAACACUGACACUGAGGAGCGAAAGCCAGGGGAGCAAACGGG